RNAcentral lists this ribosomal RNA (240 nucleotides) under uncultured bacterium. RNAcentral's name for it is "partial 16S ribosomal RNA". It matches the Rfam family "Bacterial small subunit ribosomal RNA", at positions 15 to 235 of the family's 1533-position model. The record is from RNAcentral.
GAUCCUGGCUCAGGAUGAACGCUGGCGGCGUGCUUAACACAUGCAAGUCGAGCGAAGCACUUAAGUUUGAUUCUUCGGAUGAAGACUUUUGUGACUGAGCGGCUGACGGGUAGGAGUAACGCGUGGGUAACCUGCCUCAUACAGGGGGAUAACAGUUAGAAAUGGCUGCUAAUACCGCAUAAGACCACAGUACUGCAUGGUACAGUGGUAAAAACUCCGGUGGUAUGAGAUGGACCCGCG